This 468-nucleotide ribosomal RNA is filed under the name uncultured bacterium. RNAcentral describes it as "partial 16S ribosomal RNA". It matches the Rfam family "Bacterial small subunit ribosomal RNA", at positions 28 to 507 of the family's 1533-position model. The record is from RNAcentral.
GACGAACGCUGGCGGCGUGCUUAACACAUGCAAGUCGAACGGAAAGGCCCUGCUUUUGUGGGGUGCUCGAGUGGCGAACGGGUGAGUAACACGUGAGUAGCCUGCCCUUGACUUUGGGAUAACUUCAGGAAACUGGGGCUAAUACCGGAUAGGAGCUCCUGCUGCAUGGUGGGGGUUGGAAAGUUUCGGCGGUUGGGGAUGGACUCGCGGCUUAUCAGCUUGUUGGUGGGGUAGUGGCUUACCAAGGCUUUGACGGGUAGCCGGCCUGAGAGGGUGACCGGCCACAUUGGGACUGAGAUACGGCCCAGACUCCUACGGGAGGCAGCAGUGGGGAAUAUCGCACAAUGGGCGGAAGCCUGAUGCAGCAACGCCGCGUGCGGGAUGACGGCCUUCGGGUUGUAAACCGCUUUCGCCUGUGACGAAGCGUGAGUGACGGUAAUGGGUAAAGAAGCACCGGCUAACUACGUG